ACUUUUAUACGUGGUAGCCAUAUUUAAUAUAAGUUAAGGAUUAAAUUCUUUCUAACAAGUUUCGAAUAGUUCUAUAUAAAAACAAAUUUUUCAUACGUAGAUUACCAUUUAAACCUUUUCUUUAAUAAAAUAUUUUUGAUUUGAUGUAUUUAUGUAUUGAAAGAGUAUAUUAAAGAUAUGUUGCAUAAAGUUGUAUGGUUUGAAUCAAUUAUACUGAUUAACGUAGUUCGAUUGAGUACCUCUAUACGGAAGUGACAGGAAUUGCGAUUGGUAGGGUAGCAUUAUUUUAUUACGUGUCAUGUACGCAAAUCUGCUUUUCUCGAUUGCUUGAGAAUACUAAAACGAGCUUUUGAAGUUUUUAAAUAUUUUAUUAUUUUAAUUAUUAAAGCAAGAAGAUGCGUCAAUUGAAAGGAAAGACAAAAGAAACAAAUAAACAGAAGAAAGAAAGGAAAAAGGAAUUUCUAGAGAACAAGCAGCGUGUUUUUACUGUUGUGUUACCAACCAUUGCUGCAAUAUUUGUUGUAAUAGCAGCAUAUGUUUAUGUUAAAACCCGUCCAAAAGUUGUUGAGUAUUAAUUGGCAUGUGUUCAUUAUUGAUCAUUAAACCACAAUACACAAUGUAUUUUGAGAAUGCUUGGACAGUUCCUUGAUACAUUUGUACAAUUAAAUAAGAAUUAUUUAAAUAAGAAAGCGGAUUUGAAUGUCUGCUCAUGGCACUUCAUUCCUAACAUUCUAUAAUCAAAUAUAGACAUUGUGCAUUAA
This is a long non-coding RNA of Bombus impatiens (common eastern bumble bee), 761 nucleotides long. RefSeq lists it as uncharacterized. The record is from RefSeq and is a predicted model, not a curated record. Lineage: Eukaryota; Metazoa; Arthropoda; Insecta; Hymenoptera; Apidae. The transcript has 2 exons.